RNAcentral lists this ribosomal RNA (477 nucleotides) under uncultured bacterium. RNAcentral's name for it is "partial 16S ribosomal RNA". It matches the Rfam family "Bacterial small subunit ribosomal RNA", at positions 29 to 507 of the family's 1533-position model. The record is from RNAcentral.
AUUGAACGCUGGCGGCAUGCCUUACACAUGCAAGUCGAACGGUAACAGGUUAAGCUGACGAGUGGCGAACGGGUGAGUCAUGUAUCGGAACGUGCCCAGUCGUGGGGGAUAACUGCUCGAAAGAGCAGCUAAUACCGCAUACGACCUGAGGGUGAAAGCGGGGGAUCGCAAGACCUCGCGCGAUUGGAGCGGCCGAUAUCAGAUUAGGUAGUUGGUGAGGUAAAGGCUCACCAAGCCGACGAUCUGUAGCUGGUCUGAGAGGACGACCAGCCACACUGGGACUGAGACACGGCCCAGACUCCUACGGGAGGAAGCAGUGGGGAAUGUUGGACAAUGGGCGAAAGCAUGAUCCAGCCAAGCCGCGUGCGGGAAGAAGGACUUCGGGUUGUAAACCGCUUUUGUCAGGGAAGAAAAGGUUCUGGCUAAUACCUGGGACUCAUGACGGUACCUGAAGAAUAAGCACCGGCUAACUACGUG